RNAcentral lists this ribosomal RNA (1372 nucleotides) under uncultured bacterium. RNAcentral describes it as "bacterial SSU rRNA". It matches the Rfam family "Bacterial small subunit ribosomal RNA", at positions 28 to 1381 of the family's 1533-position model. The record is from RNAcentral.
GAUGAACGCUGGCGGCGUGCCUAAUACAUGCAAGUCGAGCGAACGGACGAGAAGCUUGCUUCUCUGAUGUUAGCGGCGGACGGGUGAGUAACACGUGGAUAACCUACCUAUAAGACUGGGAUAACUUCGGGAAACCGGAGCUAAUACCGGAUAAUAUUUUGAACCGCAUGGUUCAAAAGUGAAAGACGGUCUUGCUGUCACUUAUAGAUGGAUCCGCGCUGCAUUAGCUAGUUGGUAAGGUAACGGCUUACCAAGGCAACGAUGCAUAGCCGACCUGAGAGGGUGAUCGGCCACACUGGAACUGAGACACGGUCCAGACUCCUACGGGAGGCAGCAGUAGGGAAUCUUCCGCAAUGGGCGAAAGCCUGACGGAGCAACGCCGCGUGAGUGAUGAAGGUCUUCGGAUCGUAAAACUCUGUUAUUAGGGAAGAACAUAUGUGUAAGUAACUGUGCACAUCUUGACGGUACCUAAUCAGAAAGCCACGGCUAACUACGUACCAGCAGCCGCGGUAAUACGUAGGUGGCAAGCGUUAUCCGGAAUUAUUGGGCGUAAAGCGCGCGUAGGCGGUUUUUUAAGUCUGAUGUGAAAGCCCACGGCUCAACCGUGGAGGGUCAUUGGAAACUGGAAAACUUGAGUGCAGAAGAGGAAAGUGGAAUUCCAUGUGUAGCGGUGAAAUGCGCAGAGAUAUGGAGGAACACCAGUGGCGAAGGCGACUUUCUGGUCUGUAACUGACGCUGAUGUGCGAAAGCGUGGGGAUCAAACAGGAUUAGAUACCCUGGUAGUCCACGCCGUAAACGAUGAGUGCUAAGUGUUAGGGGGUUUCCGCCCCUUAGUGCUGCAGCUAACGCAUUAAGCACUCCGCCUGGGGAGUACGACCGCAAGGUUGAAACUCAAAGGAAUUGACGGGGACCCGCACAAGCGGUGGAGCAUGCGGUUUAAUUCGAAGCAACGCGAAGAACCUUACCAAAUCUUGACAUCCUUUGACAACUCUAGAGAUAGAGCCUUCCCCUUCGGGGGACAAAGUGACAGGUGGUGCAUGGUUGUCGUCAGCUCGUGUCGUGAGAUGUUGGGUUAAGUCCCGCAACGAGCGCAACCCUUAAGCUUAGUUGCCAUCAUUAAGUUGGGCACUCUAAGUUGACUGCCGGUGACAAACCGGAGGAAGGUGGGGAUGACGUCAAAUCAUCAUGCCCCUUAUGAUUUGGGCUACACACGUGCUACAAUGGACAAUACAAAGGGCAGCGAAACCGCGAGGUCAAGCAAAUCCCAUAAAGUUGUUCUCAGUUCGGAUUGUAGUCUGCAACUCGACUACAUGAAGCUGGAAUCGCUAGUAAUCGUAGAUCAGCAUGCUACGGUGAAUACGUUCCCGGGUCU